UAGAUGGAGGCUCACUGGUUUGGGCGUUUAGCUGUUAACUAAGAGUUUGUAGGAUCGAAGCCUUCCCAUCUAG
Molecule: transfer RNA, 73 nt
Filed under: Careproctus roseofuscus
Lineage: Eukaryota; Metazoa; Chordata; Actinopteri; Perciformes; Liparidae
Also listed under: 1 other name
Description: tRNA-Asn
Source: RNAcentral